CCGCAGCUCAGCCAGCGCUGCAUCGGAUUCCUUGGGAACUCAGCGGGGCUGCCGGGAUAAACUGCUUGGACAGGCGUCACUGCGAGAAGACUGACAGCGCACACAGGAGCCACAGUUACAGCCAGUCACUGAUUCGUUUCCUGCCUGAGUGCCUUAAAACCUUUUCAGAAAUGGAAGGAGAUAAAGGACAAGAUGCUAAAGCUACCAGUGCAGUGGGUGACCUGAGGAAGAGCUGGCAGACGUGGGCAGAGGAUCACAUUGAGUACCAGAGGAAGAAUCCCUUCAGCAGUGACGACAGGCUUGCGUCUAAACCUGCGCAUACUCACAGAGGAGACCCUACCUACGGGAGACCCCCUGAAGGGUCUCGGACCGAGCAGAGAGGGAAAGAUGCUCACUCACACGUGGGUAGGGAAGUAGAAGAGCUGUGCAUGAUCAUCAGAAGAACUGGAGAGGUGGGAGAAGAUGGACAUGUUAGUGUGACAUUCGGGCAGCUGUUUGAAACAUAUGUGACUAUUUCCAAUAAGGUAGUGGGAAUCUUGUUAAGAGCCAGAAAACACGGUCUGGUCCAUUUUGAAGGUGAAAUGCUUUGGCAAGGAAAAGAUGAUGAUGUGGUCAUCACUUUACUACAAUAAGGCUUUGUCCUGGGAUGAACUUUGCUGCAUGGUUCCAUUUGGAAAAUCUAGAUACCAUCUUCACAGGUUUUGCUUACAGAAUUUCAGCUCAGCUACCUACUGGAACACAAGCAGGAGAGAAAAUGAGCAAGAAGGAUAAAGGUUAUUUUUGUAAAAAUGGUAGAGAUUUGGACAGAAAUCACAGAUUAUGAGCUACUCCAUCACGCUGACAUUGGAUUGUCCUUAUUAUCAUCUGCUACCAAGUAUAUGAGAGUUCUUCAAACAACUCUGCUGGCCUAUUGCUUUUAGGUUACUGAAAGUAUAAAUUAUUAACUUCCUAUCCUACAAUACUGAUUCCUGCAGGUUGUGAAAUACUGUGUGGGAAAAUGGGAUGUGUAAAACGUGGAAUUGAAAACUCCUGUGGGAAUUCAUAUACUACUUCAAACAAAGAGCCUGGUAUAUAGCAAAAGCAUAGGUUCAAUCUCACAUGGUUAAACUGAAUACAUGGAAGUUAUUUUCAUGAAGUAGAUGGAAAUUCCCAAACUUACAAAAAUAUCACAGCAAGGAUACUUAGUGGUACCUAAAUUGGUUGUAUCUUGCUUGGAUUUUGGACAGUUGCACUAGUUCUGGUAUUUAAUAGUCUAAUCUUGUAUCUUCUCCAAACCUUCUGUAUUUCUUUUUCUUUUUGUUUUCUAUCUCACACCAUUCCUACCUUUUCUGUUCUUCUAAAGCUUCAGAAGAAGUCCACAAAGCUCUGCAGCCUUUUUGGUGAAUUCAGCUGUACCCCUUCACAGAAGGUAUGGCACCACAAUGUAAAGAUGCAAAAGUGAACAGAAACUUUGUACUGGGGCACCUGUGCAUUCAUAAGGAAAAAAAAAAAGGAUCUUCUUUCACCAAAAUGUAACACUGUUUUUUACAAGAGGAGAGUAGAGAUACAGAAGUACCAAAUGCAUAAAUGAAAGAAUAGCAGCACAGUCCCAUACCUCAUUUACCUGCUUUCAGAGCACAGUUGUGAGCUCUUCAGAAAGAAAAAUAAAGGAUUGGUUAUAUAAAAUAGUUGUAAUAGUGCUAUGAAGAAUAAUCAAGAGCUAUAUUACAAUAGCUCCCAUCAAUAAAGCUGUAUAAUUAGAAAUCUAAAGUUCAAUUUUGUAGCAGUGUGAAUGGAAACUUGUGUGAUAACCACACUACUUGAUGAGUCUUUAAAGUAAGAUACUGUCUUGCAUCAAAAGGAUACUAAAAUUUAAUAUAAAUUAGGAACUUGAUAAAAGUGAUGUGUAAUCUUAUGCUAUUUAUAUAAAAGACCUUCUAUUGCAAAAGCCAAAAAGAAUGGGGUUUUGUUUUGAUAUUUUCAUACAAUGGGGAGGAUUUCAUUAUUACCCCGUUUCCUUUUUUUUCUGGUGAAAGGACAAUGAAAAGAGAGAAAAAAAGGAAUAAAUUAAUGUGCUGAAAUAAGUAUAUCUGGGGAACAUUGGUAUGUUCCUUAGGUUUCAAACCUACUGCUUCUUUCUAAACAGAUCUACAUCUUGCAGCUGAAAAAAAUGACGUAGUUUGUGAUCUUAACAUAUUUAAAAUGCUGUGUUCUUUUUGGAAAAGCAUUUCUUGCCAAAUGACAUAAGCACACCUCACGGUAUGUCAGCUAAGUGUUAGAGGAAGUCUUUACAUGCAUUCAGAUUUCAACACAAAUUGAGCUUUUUAUAGAGCAGAUUUGGAAUGAGUUUUGUUUAAUUCUAAUAAUUCUGAAAUCCAGUCAGUUCUGCUGUAGUGUCAGUUCCUAACUUGCAGGAAGCAGCAUUGGGCACUUCAAGUGUCACCAGCUGACUAAUGGGAUGGCACUAUCAGGAAAAAUAAUACAUUGCUGGACACUGUACAAAUAAUUCAUUGCAAGACACACGUGAGGCAGUAUGCAGCCUAAGCACCAUAACAUGCAAGUCCAGCUCACAUAAAUUUACUAGAUUUUAAUUAAAGCUGACUCAAAUAGUUAAAUAUCAGCAAUCCAGGCUGUCACUGCCACUAACUGGUAGAUGCUUGAGUGCAUCUGCAAGUGCUUUAAGUACACCUCUGAUCAAAA
Molecule: long non-coding RNA, 2679 nt
Organism: Catharus ustulatus (Swainson's thrush)
Lineage: Eukaryota; Metazoa; Chordata; Aves; Passeriformes; Turdidae
Exons: 2
Source: RefSeq, a predicted model, not a curated record